This 253-nucleotide ribosomal RNA is filed under the name uncultured bacterium. RNAcentral's name for it is "partial 16S ribosomal RNA". It matches the Rfam family "Bacterial small subunit ribosomal RNA", at positions 524 to 776 of the family's 1533-position model. The record is from RNAcentral.
UACAGAGGUCUCAAGCGUUGUUCGGAUUCAUUGGGCGUAAAGGGUGUGUAGGUGGCGCGCUAAGUCGGGUGUGAAAUUUCGGAGCUUAACUCCGAAACUGCAUUCGAUACUGGCGUGCUUGAGGACUGGAGAGGAGACUGGAAUUUACGGUGUAGCAGUGAAAUGCGUAGAUAUCGCAAGGAAGACCAGUGGCGAAGGCGGGUCUCUGGACAGUUCCUGACACUGAGACACGAAGGCCAGGGGAGCAAACGGG